UGAACCGAUUUUUUGUCUAUGUGAACAUAGAAGUAAUUUUCUUGCACUUGAUCUGUAAAAUAGGACAGAGAUACAACCGCACCUGGCCCUUGCACCAUCUGGCAUCUUUUGGCCGUCUUCUGCCGCUGGCGCACAAUCCAAUGAACCAUUUUUUUUUUUGUUCAUACAGAAUCCAAUGAGCUAAGUUGGUGUAGCAAUCCAAUCCAAUGAACUAGAUAAGAGUUAGUGCUAGAUGCAGCAAUUCUAUUUCAGUUUCAGACUGGGCACAGCCGCACAGGGCAACUAAUAUAAUGUGUCAAAUGGAGCUAAAGCAUCGAAACUAGGUGGACAUUCGCAAGACAAGGCAAGAUUUAGAAUACUCAGAUUAUACAUUUUGGCAUCUCUGGAUUGAAAUUCUUGUGUACUGUAUGUCGCGAGGAACACGGAACUCCGUUGCGUUUGUGCUAAUCAGGAAUUACAGGCAGAGUGGACAGCAGGAAAAUGAGAAAAAGAAUUAUAUAUAGCAGGAGCCCCGCACCACACAAGUCACAAGGGCUCAGGCGAGGGCUUCGGCACCGGCGACGAUCUCGAGGAUCUCCCCGGUGAUCUUGGCCUGGCGCUGUCGGUUGUAGGCGAUGGAGAGGUUCUUGGCGAGCUCGAUGGCGUUGUCGGUGGCGCUGCUCAUGGCGCUCAUCCGGGCGGCGAGCUCGCUGGCGAGCGACUCCUGCAGGGCACGGAGGAUCUGGCUGUUGAGGUAGAGCGGGAGCAGCGCGUCGAGGAUCUGCACGGGGUCCUGCUCGAACUGCACCACGGGGGAGAAGGGCUGCGUCUCGAUCUUCACCUUCUCGCGCUCCACGGUGAGCUUGCCCUCCUUGGUGGUGAGGCGGAAGAGCUCGUCCUCGGUGGCGUCCACGCAGACGCCGUUGAUGUCGCAGAUCUCGCCCUUGGGGGACAUGGGGAGCAGCGUCUGGAUGAUGGGGUCGGAGCGCACCAGCGACACGAACUUGGAGUAGAGCAGCUCCACCUUGUCCACCUCCUCCGAGACGAAGAGCGAGUAGACGAGGUCGCAGAUGGACUGCGAGUCCUUGACGGUGGGCACGCCGUUCACCUCCAGGUCCCGCUCCAGCGGGAUGUAGGGGCGGCGCUGGAAGUAGGCGUUGCCUUUCUUCCCCACGCUGAUGACGCUGUACUGGAGGCCCAGCUGCUUGAGCUCCUCGAUGCGGGCCUCCGCCUUCUUGAGCACGUUGUUGUUGAAGCUCCCGCAGAGGCCGCGCUCGCCGGUCAGGACCACGAGCGCCACCUUCUUGACGGGGCGGGUGCGGGUGAGGGGCAGGUCGAUGUCCUCCGUCUGGAUCUCCUGGUUCAUGUUGUAGAGCACCUCAACCAGCGCCUCCGAGAAGGGGCGGGAGGAGACGACGGCCUCCUGCGCGCGCCGGACCUUGGCGGCGGCCACCAGCUUCAUGGCCUCCGUGAUCUUCUGCGUGUUCUUGACGGAGUCGAUGCGGGUGCGGAGCUCGCGGAGGGAGCACCGCACCACGAGGCCCGAGCGCGGGGCGGAGCUUCCGCGCCGCUGGGUGGUGGAGGCGCUGCUGGCGAGCGCCGAGGAGGACCAGGCGGUGGAGAGGUGGGAGCACGACAUGGCUGCUGCUGCUGGUCCGCGGCGACGGGGAUCACCAGCGGGCGGCGGCGCGCGGGGGGGAAGCAGAAGAGACAGACAGGGGCGGGGACGGAACGGGAGGGAGGGAAAUGGGUUUGGAAGGAUUGGGUUUGGGUGGAGAGGUGAGCACGGUGGGGUAUUCAAGCCGAGCUGAGUGGUGGAGGGGCAGUGACGGCGAGAUGGGGAGGAUCAUGUGGCUCCGCCGAGCUGGCUGCACCCCCUGCAUACCGCUGACGCUCCACACUUCAUUUUUUGAUGAAUUGUCGGGAAUGAAAAACCAAAAAUAAUGCUAUGGCCUCUAGUUCCACAAAGGAUAGUGGGAUCCUGCUCAGGAUAUCCCACCUUAAACAACAGAUACUCUCUACGACCACAAUUUGGAGGAGCUCUUGCCCAUUUCUACAGGAAUCGAAUUAUUUCCACUGAAAUCCUGAAUAAUUUAUGUGUUCAAAAAGGAACCCAAGUUUAAGGCCUGUCCCGAACACAUCAAUUUCAUCACAAUUCCGAGAUAAAAAUGGAACUUUGAUGAUUCAAUCUGUUGAGUUGAAUUCACUCGUAUAAAAAAACGGCUCACCUAAACUGAUGCAAAGUUCAUGCCAAAAGAAGUAGAGACUGAUGAAAUUGGUAUUUCAAGAUAAAGCAAGGUACUCGAACAAGCACACAGACUGAGUGAUACAUACAAGUACAAAAUAUCAGGAUUAAGGGGAUGCAACCAAUUCUGGGAAGUAAAAGUUGAACCUCAGGGUACAACGACAGCAAUGGUACUGAUGACAUCCGCGUAGCCUAAUCCCUUGCAGAUUGAGCAUCUUUCCUUGGUGGCUUGUAGACACUGAAGUCACCGAAAUCCCGCCGUCCACUGCACCACACAAGAGGACAUACAGAUAGCAGUAAAUAUCUGGUGAUGAAAGGAAAUCUGGACGAAAAACAUCGCGACACAGAAAGAUCUUUUGAAGUCACUGGUACAUGGCUAAAACUUCACAUACAGCUUGGUAAAUUCAAGAAAAGGCAUAUAUGAAUGGCAACUAACCUGUGGUUAAUAUUCCAGCCAGAAGGUAAAUAACGGGGGUGAACAGCUUCAACAAAGAUCUGCCUCCAUCUUUGGCAGAACUGGUUAAUAGCUUCUUCCCCACCAUUUGAAAGCAAAAGUUCCACAACUUGUUUACCGUGAUGCCCAUGACCCAACAGGGAAAUCUUCUUCUCAGCAUUCUUGGAAAUGGCCUGGCUAGAAUUGUCGCGGAUGGAUAAUUCCCUGUCGACAUGGCUGUUUCCAGGAGUGCAGGUGCCUCUUGCUUGCUGCUUGGUAUCUGUCUUGAGUGUCACAGUGUCAUGAUCAAAAGUGGUGUCCUCCAUGCUGACUGGCAAACUUGAGCCAACCUGGCUCAGGGUUAAAUUCUCUAGCUGGUUUUGACUCUCUGUCUCGUCAAACUCCUGUUGACCAUUACUCUCAGUUCCAUCCUCAGGAAAUCGCUCAGAUAAGGAAUGAGAAUUUUCUGAUCCAUGUCCACUGUCUUCUGAGAUGGUAUUGCUGCUGCUCUUUCUAAUAAUAUUUUGAGCCUGAGCUCUGAACGAAUAGCCCUUUUUCUUUUCCAGACGCCUUCGCUCAUGAGGACUCAUACCAACAAGUAAUGCCACCUCGAGAUCUUCAGGAGUCACAUCCCUACCACCAUAAUAUGACUUCACAAUCUGCAAAGAACUGAACUGAUCCAUAACAGAGAUCUAUAGCUAAGAACAAGUACAUAUUUAACAAGGAAAGAAUAUGGACGGGUAGGAUAAAACAGGUAUGUUAAUACGUCAAUGCCAAAGCUCCCGAAACUGUGAAGUACUACAUAUUGAGCCAGAAAUACUAAAAGGAUGCCAUCACCUGCAUUAGCUCUUCACAUCUCUUCAAUGGCAUGGUGGAUCCAUGCCGUAGAAGAGCCAUGGCAGCGGUCCUCAGCUGCAAUGGGGAGACACCUGUUCCAUUCAAUUUAUCUUCAGAUACUGAUGUGCUCGUAAUCAAACUUAUAUCACCCGAGUUCAUUAUCUUUUGCACAAAAAGGGGUAUUCCAAAUUCUUCUGCUAUUCGCCUCUUGUAUUUCUCAGCUGCUGAAUGAGCAAUUUCAUGACAGUCUACACAAAGAAGUACAAUAUCAUGUGAACGAUGGCUCUUCAGAUGUUCUGGAAAAUGCAUCCUGUAGCAUGAUGGUAUUAUUCUGUAUCUAAUAUAAUGGCUCUUUUCUCCACAGCCAACACAAAUAUUUUUCUUGCUCUGAAUAUAGAACUCAUUAUCUUCGUCCUCUGGACGACCUUUAGGUUCAAAGAGAAGCAUGAUUGCUGGAGGACUAUCUUCAAUCAAUUUCGCCAAAUUACGUUGAACAUACCUGGGAAUGGGAUAGAAGAGCUCGUCAGUUUGACAAAAUACCUCUUCAUUCAUGCUACAUGCAUGUAAAUAGUUAAUGGGUGUAUAUUUAAGAGACAAACCAUUCCAAUUUUUUGUGGUCACAGUAGCAAAGUAGUCUUCCAUCACUAGCAUAAAUCCUGCAAUUGUGAUAUACAGGGGACUUGCAGGAGAACUUUUUAAUGAAUAAAUCCCGUGAAGCCUUUUUAUUAGGCGGUGCUGUCAGCAACUUUUCUCCACUUGGAGCAAAAGAAAACAUAUUUGUUUGCUUCAAACUUAGGUGUGUUAUAAGGUUAUAAUUAUAAACUGACAGUCGACAUAAUCCACUUGGAUCUUUAUACUUCUCCAGUAAACUUUUAAAGAUGCCUUCCAUGCUGGUAGUGAUGUCAUCUAGCAGAUAGCAAAGUUCUUCAACAUGAGCGACCACAAGAGGUGACGGUGAUGACAAGGAAGGGUACAUACUUGAAAUGCUUAGGUCAGUUUCUGAUAUGACAGCAAACACCUCUGUUGGGCCUUUUGGAAGACUAACAGCAAGGGCAGCUAUAGCUUGGUCUGACAGAACAUAUCGUAAGCUUUCAUCAUGCAUCCGAGCCUGGAAGGACCCAAAACCCAAGUUAUUAGGAGAUACUAGAAAGGAAGAACAGACCUGCAGCUACAUAACUGCAAAUAUGCAUGACUAUCCUGGUGACCACCAGAUGUCACUCGGGCAAGUUUAGCAAUGGGCACAUGGAAGCAACAAAUGCAUUUCCAGGAAGAACAAAGUGUACAACUUUCUAAGAAAUACUGAAGAUUGUCUGUUUUAACCCUUUAAUAACACGAUGAUGUUCCAAUGUUUGAUCCGGAAUUCAAAGAUUGAUAAAAAUGUUACUACAUCCAGUCAAGAAAAGUUCAUGUUUCAGACAAGUCAGAAACUAGUUUGCUGCUGCUUUCACUUGUCUGAACAUCAAGAUUUGCUGACCGGAGGUAACAACAAAUAAGUAAUUAAAAAGAUUUACUUUGCAGAGGGAGAGGGAGCCAUUUUAAGGGAAAUAGUUUUUUUUUUACUGACCAUUAAGUCCCUCCAUGCACAGAAUUUCCAAACAAGAUCCUGCAGAUGCAGAAGAUUAAAAAAUCAGGAACAGAAAAUACUAAAAUCGUUGGCUGGCAAGCUAACCAGAAGACAUUCUACAAUCAAACAGUGAAUACAUAAAAGAAGCACCUUCACUUCACUAGACUUUUUGGAGUCGAGACCAUGAGUUUGCAAAUUUCGUGAGAGAAUAGAUGCUGCACUGGAAGCUCCAGGAGGACAUUCAAUUUCUUUUGCAUACAGUUGCAUGCAGACCAUAUUUGAGCGAUGACUAGCCUCGAAGAAAAAAUUGAUUUUAUCACUGGAAGUAUCUGAUUAGAUAUUACAGAUGAUCAAAGACUUGAGACAUGUGAUGAAGGCCAAGGGUACCACCGUACCAAUAUGUGAUUUGAUGUUGACAAGAAAAGAGAAAAUAUUUAGGACUAUCCAAAUCUUAUGAGGGUUAAUGUAUCAAUUUCUGCAGUUCAGCAAUAGGAUGUCAUGAGUGCCUCAUCACUGCCAUCUGCCUUUCUUGGUCCCCCUUAAUACUGCUUCCUUUCUUAACUACACAUCAGGAAUAUAUAGAGAUGACACAUUGUGCUUACCAUUCAAAAGCUUAUGUUGACAUUGUGAAAAAAGUUUUUGACACUCAAAAUAAUAAGAAAGUGGCCAUCUAGUUUUCCGCAGGUGAAUAGGAUUGCAUAUGCUUGUUAAUGAAAUACCCCAGCUUACAUAACUCCAUAGUGUACGAUUCAAAGUUCUUUUUCCAUUGAUAGCACAUGCUUCCUAAUUUUAAUUGAUUAUUCACAGUUUACCCAGGAAAAUCCCAAGGCAUGGGUCGAAUAGUGUAAUUUUUAAAAAGGACUCAUCAUUUCCAAGGAUAAUGCAUUUCAUUUCUGAACCCCAGUACUAGCAAGAAGUGUUUCAAGCUGCUAGUGUCUAAGAAUGAAAAACAGCAUCAUCCAACUCAAGAACCAACAAUCCAAAGAACUUUUGUUCUUCAUACCAUGUGAAAUAGUUUAAAAACUUAAUGGAACUAUGACUUCUACACUCUGAGAUAGCAAGUUCAAAUAUAUUAGAUAACUGUGAGGUUACUGAACGGUGAACAAAAAUGAAGCACAAACUAUAGGAAAGGAAAAGCUGAUACAGCACUUAGAACAUACCACAGGCUUUUGCAUGGAGCUCCGAUGCCAAACAAUUUGCAAUGUACAACAGAUAGUGAGCAUCAGUGCGAGCAUACUCAAUCAUUUCGGGAGUCAGAGGACGCAGUCUCCAAUCUUCACGCUGGGGUUUCAAAAUCAAGGUAGGAAGAAACAAAAUGGGAGCGGAUAUCAGGCAAUUGCAAUAUUGGAAUUUUUGAGUUUCCAACAAACUUAUUUUGAAUACCAAAAGAAAUAUGGCUUACAACAUGUAUGUACUUGGUUAUCAUUUUCAAAAGCAUGUCAUCUAUUCAACACCAAACAUAAUGCUCGAUAGCAAGUAAGUUCAAGAAAAUAUCUUUUGUAAAGAAACUUAGAGUUUGCUCAACGGAAGAUAAAUUCAAAGGUGGUGAUCAUGAAUUAUCUUUAUUUGAAUUGAUUAAAACAGCAUGGGAACUAUGCAUUCAUAGAUGCAUGUAAUGACUCCACAUAAUUUAAGAUUUGACAACCAGGCUGUGAAGGAUGUAAAGACCAGUUAUUUGGAAACCAAUCAAAACUAACUGGGUAGGUUGGAGCUAAUGUACGGUGGACAGUUGACCUUAUAAGUUCUCAUGGGUAGUAAGCUACCUUACCUUGUUUAUAUUAAGAUAUAAAUUGAGCAAGUCAGAAUACAAGAUAAACAUAUGUAAGCCAAACAUGCCUUAAAAGUAUGUUUUAGCACUAUGUUUUGAAUAUAAUCUAUAUUUCUAUUCAACAACUGAAAAAAGUGGUAUCCCUGUAGUAAACUCUGACUCCAUGGGACAGCAUGCCAAGCAGACCCUAGAUCUGCUUCUUUGUUUUAUUGUAAUUUACAAUGUGAAAACAUAAUAAAUAGUGUACUCCUCAGUAACCGAAUACACUUUUUUAAGCAUUCUGCCUCAUAUUUCCCGUCCUCUCAUGGAAGCAUGAGUGCAUAAGGUCAACUGGCAUUGGAUAAAUGAGUGGCUUCACUGAACCCGGUACUUUUAAGCUGAUACUGAACGAUUACCUACCUGCAUGGUCUUGUCAGUGGUCACUUCACAAUAUACUUCAAGCAAAUAUGCAAGUGAUUUUUGUGGUUUUGAUAGAGUUUCACAUGCCUGUAAUAAAAUCAGUUGUAAGGCACAAUUAAGAAAAGAUGCACGCAUUCAUAGCAUAGAAAAAACAAACUAAGGAUGUAAAUUCAGAAAUGAAAAAAAAGGACGUUUCACACAAACUUAUCAAAAAAUUGAGUGAGGGGGAAAGAAAUAAAAUUGUUCAAAAACCAAAAGAUUUGUAAGCAUGAUUGUAGCAUGCGAUUAUACGGUGAGCAAAGAUGGUUUUAUAACUAAAAGUUCUGAACUUCUGAUUCUUAACUGCAAUGGCAUUCCACCACAUGAUAUGUUCAUUCACAAAGCUUUUCAUGUUGCAGUUAUGAGGUUGACAUUUCCAUGCUUCAGUAAUAGAAAGUAUAAUCAAUUAUCUGACUGAAAUCUAUUAUAUCACUUUUAAAAGGUGAGUGAAAAAGGAGGAACAAGAACACCACAUCAUCAUAUCAUUUCCCCGCCCUUGGACUAAAUGAACCAUAUAAUCUAGAACCUAAUACUGAAGCAAUCAAUAUCAUAUAGUAGCAUAGUACAAUUGAAAACAACCUGUUUCUGAGAAACCAUGAUAAAAGUAAUAAAGAGGGAGAUAACAUUUUUCUGGAUUGACAUUCUUAGUUAACUAGGUACAGUAUAGGGGGUCUUCCUUCAUUUGUUAAUAAUACAACUUUUUCAAGUGAUACAGUAUUUGUUAAUCAUAUUCCUUUCAUUUCAUAGAGCAGUUACAACAUGCAUACAUGUGAUGUGAUCUACAAAAAGUUAGAAAUGACCCAAAAAAUCACUAAACUACCUGCACAGAAUUGUUCCUUGUGAAAAUGGGGUGUCAAUUUAAGCAAUGCAUGCCACACAACAUGCUGUACCAAAAAGGUCUAGCAAGCAAAUGACAUUAAAUGUGUUACAUACCAGAAAUCUUUGCAGAAUAGAUAAAAUGCGUGAAAAGGAUAUGUUAUGCAGGUACUUACCUUGGCAGUAUCAAACAUAUUCACAACAUAAAUAUGAAAAUCCCUUUGAAGCCAAAGAACAUCAUUGUCAGCUCCAUGGAAUAUCUACAGCAUAAGGCAAAAGAGAAAUGUGUGUAUUUAGGAUGUCCUACACUCCUACAGCUUAUCUUUUAUUCUAGGCUGAGUAAUUGAGGGGCAUAUAAACACAGUAAAGGGAAAAAAUAAUCUGCUGACAUCAGUAGGUCCUACAGCUUAUACCUAUAAUGCAUAUCCGAAAAGUAAACUCAACUACAUUUCAAUGGCAUGUAAAUAGAGUUUGUGGCAGUAUCUUUGCUUGUACUGUAAUAGAGCUUAAAGUUUGCAGUCACCACUGAAAAAUGAAAAUAAAUGGCUUACCACUGGCAGGUGGCAGCAGGUACAAAGAUGUGUUACCUUACAAAUAGAAGAAUUAGCAAAGACUGGUCGUAGAAUGCCCAUCACAUCAUGCAAUGCUAUUGUGUCUAUCAAAUAGUCAUCAUUCUGGGUGGAGAUCUAAACAGAACAAUCUAUAUUAAAAAUAAUAAUAAACUUAUAAAGAAUAGAAUGUUGAGGGUGCACGUGCAUCUACCAGUAAUUACCUGCAUUAGUGCCGUAUAUCCUAGGAAAGACCGAAUGCUAUGUUGCUCUGUAUCAACAGCAAAAGCUCUUUCCUCACCUAAUAAUCUUGCCAGAUGCUCCAGUUGAGCUUCUGUAUCAACCCAAUUAUAUGUAGUACUCAUUUUUGGGCACUGGGCACCCAGCAUAAAGCUAUGGAAAUCAGGGGGGUUGUUUAGCAAAGAUGUGAUUUCUUCCUCAAAUGGAUGAACUUUUUGUGAUGAUUCUGUAUCAAUUAAAAUGGAAUGUCAGAAGAAUUAAAAAGAAUGGGACCAAUUGGGAUAUGGUCUGAUGAGUAAUCAAUACUCUAUAUGCUAGAUAUGCAAAUUUCAUAUCUUACAGCAAAACUUAUUCAAUCAACCAUCCAGCUUGGCUUCCUCGAGUAAAAUAGAUAGCAAUUACUUGAGCAUUCCCUUUACUAACUCUACAUCCCCUUUACUACUAACUCCAAAUAACAGCUUGACUUCCUCGAGAAAAAUAGACAGCAAUUGCAGUACAAAUAUUAAAGUUAGUUGAGUAUUCCAGAGUCCAGAACAUGACAAGCGAUUGCUGUUUCAAAUGGUAACAGCAAUAAUCUAGUCUUCAGUUAAGAGCAUGACCUGGAGCUCUUCUGUAGCUUGUAACACUAUGCUAUUAUUCCACUAUGUGCAUCACUAGAGUAGUAUGAACAAAUAGAAGCACGCAAUAGAACAGCGUUUUCCAUGAAUGCAUAAAGCAGCCACUGACUGGAGAAUGCACAGCGCUGCCCUCAGGUGUUCGACGAAAUUCCUCAGACAGAAAAUCCACAUCGAACUGCAUUCCUCUAAUCCUCUACUAGCCUCCCCACCCAGGCCCCCACCCCCACCCCCCACCCCUGUUGCGUCGCGUAGCUCGAUCCUACGUACCAGGGGCGCCGUGGAAUUCCUAAAACAAGCAAACAACCAUACGAGUUCGACGGCAAUGCCGAGAUCCCCGCAAGCAGGAGCAGGAUUCCAGGAGUGCAUGCGCGCACCUUGAGGAGGUGGCAGGGGUCCCUCGCCUUCUGCACUUCCCGGCUGAGCACUCUGACGACGUAGGUGUUUGAACGGGGAGUAGGAGUUGUCCGCGAGCACGCGCUUGAACCGGGCCUGCGGCUUCUCCUCCUCCUCGCAGGCGCGGCGGGGGCGCCCCCCGACCCCGAGGCGGCGAGACGAGAAGGGCGCCAGGUUCCGGCGUCGCCUGCGGUGUAGCAGCGCCGCCGCGGCGAGGACCGCAAGGCACGCGGCGGCCGCGACGGCCGCGCGCGAUCUGAGGGUGGCGGCGCCUGGCAUGUCGCGACGCAGGCAGAGGCAGUCCGACGGUGACGGGAGGGAGAAGACAGAAAAAGGGUAGCUCGAUUUGGACCGUUUGGACUUCGGAAGGCGCAUGCGCAACCGUGCAAAGGAUCGGUCUAUGUCGGGACCGGACCUGCUGACUCGAGAGAGUGAUAGGAUCACCGAGCCAGAGCGUGCGUCUCCUGUAAGGCCCCGCACGCUACCACGGUUCAACAAAAAAUGAAAAACUCUCGUGGAUUCAAAAUCCAAUAGUACUCCGUAAUUCUUUUUCGUAUCAUCCCUUCUGGAAUAAAAAGGGUUGGAUUUCUAUAAAUCCUACAUAAUGACUUGUUUUAUACAAAUUUUAGAGGAAUUUUGCAAGAGGUUAAACCAGUCUGUUCGUUUGAGUUUAUUAGUCAAAUCAGUAAGCAUUCAGCAGUAUUUUUCUCCCACAACAUCUUUUGUUUUCCAUCAGACACUUAUGUCACUUUUUGAUUGUAACAACAUUAAGUCCAAAGGCACAAAGACCAUAUAUACCUAUCGUCUGUGAGUUGAUUUUUUGUUCUCGCGCCACCUCAUUGCCUCGUGUGUCGCUGCAUUGUGCCCACGCGGGGUUUGCGGGCGCUAGCUUGUGUCACACACUACGGUUGUCUAGCCUGGCGGUUUGGUGUCGUGGUUCGUAAUCAUGGUGUGAUUAUUAUUGAUUCAAUUAUUGGUUCAAUGUGUGGGCCCAUGGUAGUUUAGCACUCAAAACACACAAAAAAAAUUUCCUAGUUCGAGUGUCUAAACCCAGCAUCUAACACCUAGUUCUUUAUGUUAGAAUGCUCAAUCGAGUUCUUACUAUGGAGGUUAAGAGGGAGAGAAGGUAGGAGAGCAUAGCUUGCAGUGAUCUAGGAUUCAAUUUCUUCUACAAGAGCCCCUGUUCUACCUUAUAUGUCGGAGGCUGAGAGGAGUACAAAGAGAGUGGAUUCGGUGGUCCUAGGGUUUCCUAUCCUAAUCUUCGAGUUGCUGGCUAUUGCUGUUCAAGAUUGCGGCAGGGAACCCGCUAGGUGUAGCCUCUGAGCCUCUAGCUGAUUAAGAUAUUGGUCGGUGGGUUAGUUGCACAGUUGUGGUACUAAUCUAGGGAUUUAGGUGAUCCAUUUAUUUGGUACUCAACAAUUGGCAUUGUAACUGAGUAGUGGGCUUUGCAGCAAUGCGGCUGAGCAACCAAACUAAAGUGCACCUUGUCGUGCUAGGCUCCUUAUGUUGGAACACGUUCAGCCGAGGGUUAUAGGGUCACCGGUGGAUCUGAGGCUAACAACGGUGGCAUUUGUUGUACCAUCGGGGUAGCGACAGCAUGGCAGGGGCAGGGUUACUGGCACCGUGCGAGAGAGCUCAAGCCCAGAGAUAGCAAGGCAAAACAUGAUGACACUGCCUUGUUCGUUUGGCUGAUAAAUAAUGGCAGAAAGUACUAUUGACUAAUUUAUUAUGAGAGAAAAAUACUACUGAAUAACUAAUUCAAUUGUGGACCAUACAGGAGGGACCAAUGGCACGACAAUAGAAACUUGAUGUGAUCGCAUAGCCUGACCAUGAUGUUGUCAUAAUGUGGAUGUCAAUCAACCUCCAGAGUGGCGUGCAAGGUGGCGCUACGGUGCAGUACGUGAAUGCUACUACUCACGCACUUAUGAAACACAAAUCCUUGUGACUUUGGAGGUUUUUGAAUUAUUUGCAGACCCUAUGAGCUUUUAUAUCUUAAGGUACUCCUUCCGUCCCAAAAAAAUAUCGUUUUAGAAUUUCAGAUAUCUUGUUUAAUCAUCCAUCUUAUUCAAAAUUUUUACAUAAAUAUUAUAUAUUUUGUUAAGACCUAUUUUAUCAUUAGAGAUACUCCCUCCAUCCUAAAUUGUAAGUCGUUUGACUUUUUUUUUCACCUCAAGUUUGACCACUCGUCUUAUUCAAAAAAUUUGUGCAAAUAUAGUCAAAUUUAAAUCAUUCUUGAAGAACUUUUAUUAAUAAACCAAUACACAACAAAAAUGAUAUUUUGUACAAAACUUUGAAUAAGACGAGUGGUCAAACUUGAUAUUAAAAAAGUCAAACGACUUACAAUUUAAGAUGGAUUGAGUACUUUACUAAUGAUUUUAUUAUACUAAAAAUACAAUCAUAUUUUUUAGCCCCUUUAAUCAAAAAGGCUAGUUCCACCACUGCCGUGGCCCGUGGAGGGGAAUUCGAUUUGGUGCCAGUUUGAACUUUGAAAUAUCACGGGCUAGAGUUUAUGCUUACCCACGGUAUGACUACAAGUGUUUCCCUGCUCAGGUCUGGUUUAAUUUUAUUUUUUUAUAAAAUAGACAGUGUAGCAUUUCGUUUGUAUUUGAUAAAUAUUAUCUAAUUAUAAACUAAUUAGUUUUAAAAAAUUCGUCUCGCAAUUUACAAAUAAAUUAUGUAAUUAAUAUUUUUUUAUUUAUAUUUAAUGUUUCAUACAUAUAUUGAAAAAUUUAAUAUGACAAAAAAUCUAAGAAAUUUUUUAUAAAAAAAUACGAAGGAAACAAGGCCUCAGCUCUGAUGAAUGCCUCGGGCAGCAGAUCACGAUCCCGAGAUCGGACAAGAUGACUACUCCGGCCCCGUGCCGCCGUGGCACUCACUGACUGCACAGUCUGACAGACUGACACGCGCUCACGAAGCGUCCAGAGGCGCUCUCCAGAACGCCCCCCACCUGUCCGCAGUCCGCUGCCAGCGGGCCCCGCGCGCUCGCGCACCUUCUCGCGCGCGGGCGCGGCUGGCGCCUGGCGGUGGGGGUUCGGCUUCCCUCCAAGGCAGCCUUCCUUUCUGCAGGCGCGCAGGCCGCAGGGGCAGCUCCCCGUCUUCUUUAUCACUAGCCGAUCGCCGCAGCGCACGACGAUGUACAGAGCGGCCGCCUCGCCGCUCCGUCACAGCCUCCGCCGCCUCUCCUCCUCCUAUUCCGCGGCUACCCCGCUCGCUGGGGCCGCCCGCUUCCUCGCGCCCUCCUCCGAGGGUCGGCUCUCCGCACUCACCUCGUCUCGCCUCCUCGGGUCGGCGCCGUGCCGGUGCUGCUCAGGCGCCGGGAUCGCCGAGCGGCCUGCGUCUGCGUGGCGCGGACUCGCCACCAUGGGUAAUGCUCCUCAGUACCCUCUUUUCUUGCCAAAAACGAAGUGUUGUUCAACGGUAAAAAGUAAAGAAAGCGGCAAAGUGCUAGUACCAUUUUUUUCGAAUUGAGAGGUGUACGGUGUUGCUCAUCAGGCUCAGCGUUCACUAUUUCUCUUUAUCUGUAUAUAUGUGAGAAGAAGAAGAGUUGUCAUACGGUCUGUGUAUUUUGGGUAGCUCGGAGAUUUGAAGUUGUAUUAGGUGACCGAUCAAGUAGUUCCAAGCAGCCAAAUGUCGCUGAUCAUGUCACCCUUUAAAGUUUAAGGGCAUGUUUGGACCACGGGAAAAAAAAAUCCUAUUUCUGCGUUUUUCUAUGUGAUGAAAUUGACUGAUUCCUGUGAAGUUCUUACGUUCCAAACAGUCCCUAAUAAAUUCUAGAUCUCUAUGGUUUUGAUUCUUUUGAAUUCCUAAUGGUUGUUGCUUGUGGUGUCAUUACCACUCAUUAAUAUUGAUCUCCGUAUGUGACCUUACCUGCAGCUGACGGUAAUAGCCGCUUUGGGCAUGUGCUGACAAGCCUCCCAAAGCCCGGUGGUGGAGAGUACGGGAAGUACUACAGCUUACCAGCCCUGAAUGAUCCUAGGAUAGGUACUUAGCCGAGAAAUGCUACGGUGAAUUUAUACACAAUAAUAUGAAGAUCCCCAAGGAGGAUACGUCAUACCAAGCCUUACAACUUGUAAUUCAUUUAUGCAUUCCGUUUUCAGAAAGAUUGCCAUAUUCUAUCCGGUAUCUACUGGAGUCAGCCAUCCGCAACUGUGACGGAUUUCAGAUUACAGAGAAGGAUGUCGAAAACAUCAUUGAUUGGGAGAAUACUGCUCCCAAGCUGGUGGAGAUACCUUUCAAGCCUGCCCGUGUGCUUCUGCAGGUGUGGAAGUGACCUGACUUCAUCCUUCGCUUCAUGUGGUGUAAAACAACUAUUCAUUUUCCUCUCUUUGAAGGAUUUUACUGGUGUCCCAGCUAUCGUAGAUCUUGCAAGCAUGCGCGAUGCUAUGGCUCAACUGGGCGAUGAUCCUGGCAAGAUUGAUCCCAUGGUAGGCAGCACUCAGUACACUAGGACACAUAAGAAUCAUCAUCAUGCAAGAAUGGUCACACGACUGACCAUCUUCUAAUAUUUCUCAACUUCUCACCUUUUUGCUAUUCACUUGCAGAUUCCAGUGGAUCUAGUCAUUGAUCAUUCGGUACAGGCUGAUGUGGUAAAAUCAGAGAAUGCCCUCCAAGCUAAUAUGCAACGCGAAUUCGACAGGAACAAGGAGCGCUUCGCCUUCCUUCGGUGGGGCUCUACGGCAUUCAAUAAUAUGCUUAUUGUUCCACCAGGUUCAGGAAUUGUUCACCAGGUGCAGUUUAUUUUUUUAUAGGCCGAUUAGUUCUCAGUCCCAAAUUUCUGUGCACCUUAAUUUGCAUUAUGCUUCUUGAGUUUCAUUUGAUGCUUUCUUAACUCUAUUUUUUCAGGUGAAUCUUGAAUAUCUUGGACGAGUUGUUUUCAAUACGGAUGGCAUUUUAUAUCUUGACAGUGUGCUGGGAACGGAUUCUCACACUACUAUGAUUGAUGGAAUGGGGGUUGCUGGCUGGGGUGUUGGGGGAAUUGAAGCAGAAGCAACAAUGCUUGGUCAGGUAAUAAAACAGAGAUCAUAAUACAUUGUACACAUUAGGAUAUUCUAUUUGCAUAUGAACCUUGAUUUUGAUUUUGUCUAAUGCAAUAUUUUUCUUAAUGGACAGCCAAUGAGCAUGGUCUUGCCCAGUGUAGUUGGAUUUAAACUGACAGGGAAAUUGCGUGAUGGUGUUACUGCAACCGACUUAGUCCUGACAGUGACACAUAUUCUUAGGAAGCAUGGUGUUGUUGGCAAAUUUGUUGAGUUUUAUGGUAUAACUUUACUUCUGCCAAUUUUUACACAACUUCAGUUUUUAAUAUUACCACUAACGGGUGGGUUUCGCGUGUAGGUGAGGGGAUGAGUGAGUUAGCAGUUGCUAACAGGGCAACAAUUGCUAACAUGUCACCAGAAUACGGUGCAACAAUGGGCUUCUUCCCUGUUGAUCAUGUGACCCUUGGAUACCUGAAGCUGACAGGGAGAAGUGAUGAAAAGGUUUGCUUCCAUUUUUCACCUUAAAAUUGCUUAUUGGUUCUCAAAAAACAUUUCGAUGGAUCCAAUCUAUUGUAGUCUGGACAUUCCUUUUUGGUCCAAUAGUUUUCUUAUGUUUUGAUGUCCUGACAAAUAGGUUGACAUGGUAGAGGCAUAUCUUCGAGCUAACAAAAUGUUUGUUGAUUACAACGAGGUUAGCAUCAUUGGUACUACUAUCUCAGAUAUUAAAGGAAACAUAUGUCUAAUACAGAUCUGUAGUUUCAGACUCAAACAGAAAGAGUUUACUCAUCGUACCUAGAGUUAGAUCUUGCAGAUGUUGAACCAUGUGUUUCAGGCCCGAAAAGGUAACUUUCUUUGCUACCUAUGCUUAUCUUGAUCUUAUCAUGCUACACAUAGGUUUUUCUAAAUAUGAUUGUACCUAUUCAUUGUUAUGUAUUACAUAGACCUCAUGACCGUGUUGCUCUGAAAGAUAUGAAAGCAGACUGGCGUGCCUGUCUCAGAAAUAAAGUUGGUUUUAAGGUAAGAGUACUAAAUUAACUUGAAUGUUGCCAGCAUCCAUGAUAGUAAAAUAGCCUAUCUAUCCUUUACACGAUUUCUGUUGCGCUCACCAACAGAACAGUAAUUUAUUUGUUGUCUACAAUUUUUGUUUGGGUUACAGGGCUUUGGCAUACCUAAAGAGCAACAGGAUAAACUAGUCAAGUUCACCUUCCAUGGACAACCUGCAGAGAUUAGACAUGGUAGCAUUGUGAUCGCUGCCAUAACAAGUUGCACAAACACCUCGAACCCAAGUGUCAUGCUUGGUGCUGGCCUUGUUGCAAAGAAGGCGUGUGAGCUUGGCCUUGAGGUGAGUCUUCAUUGCCAUAAUUACUUCUCAGCACAGCAUGCCUUUCGUAACUUUGGUAUAUUGACAGGUUAAUCCAUGGAUUAAAACUAGUCUUGCGCCAGGAUCCGGGGCAGUGACCAAAUAUCUGCUGAAGAGGUAGAAAUUCCGCCCCUCCCUAGUAGUUUUAAACAUGAAAAUUGUUUAUCUUCAAAUCCUGACUUAUGUCGCAAAAUCAGUGGCUUGCAAAAGUAUUUAGAUCAUCUAGGUUUCAACUUAAUUGGAUAUGGCUGUACAACAUGCAUUGGUAACUCUGGGGAGCUUGAUGAAGAUGUUGCUAAGGCAGUUACUGACAACGGUAACUUCAUACUUAUUAACUAAACACAUUUGCCUGAUUUUUCUCAUGCUCAAUUGUACUUCAGAAAAUGAAAUCCCAUGUUCUUGGCAUGCCUUUGUCAGAUAUCAUUGCUGCUGCAGUACUCUCUGGUAACAGGAACUUCGAAGGGCGAAUUCAUGCAUUGGUUCGGGCCAAUUACCUUGCCUCCCCUCCUCUGGUUGUGGCCUAUGCCCUUGCUGGCACUGUAAGCAGUGUGUUUAUCCCUAUUGAUUUUUUUUCCUGGUGUAGUCACCAUGGAUAAAUUGUCGUAUUUUGUCCCAUCAAUAUAUAUACAUUUGCAUCAGGUUGAUAUUGAUUUUGAGACGGAACCAAUUGGGAAAGGAAAAAAUGGAAAAGAUGUGUACUUCAAGGACAUAUGGCCAUCAAAUGAAGAAAUUGCAGAGGUAAAUUCAAAAUUGUCGCAUUCUUCUAAAUUGCUCAGUAUGCAUUUAUCAUAUAUAGAAUGCACUUAUCACGCCUUAAGGUUGGAUUAUAACAAUACCAGGUUGAGCAAUCAAGUGUGCUGCCUGACAUGUUCAGGAGCACCUAUGAAGCAAUCACACAAGGCAACCCAAUGUGGAACCAGCUGUCAGUUCCCAAGGCAAAGCGCUUCCCAUGGGACCCCAGUUCCACCUACAUUCAUGAUCCUCCGUUCUUCAAGGAUAUUACACCGACUCCGCCAGGUCCACGCAGCAUAGAGAAUGCCUAUUGCCUGUUGAAGUUUGGUGACAGCAUCACGACAGACCACAUCUCACCAGCUGGGAGCAUCCCCAGGGACAGCCCUGCUGGCAUGUACCUGCUUGAGCGCGGUGUGCAGCCAAAGGAUUUCAAUUCUUAUGGAAGCCGUCGGGGCAACGACGAAGUGAUGGCACGAGGAACUUUUGCAAAUAUCAGGAUUGUGAAUAGGCUGUUAAAUGGAGAAGUUGGACCGAAGACGAUUCACGUCCCUACAAGUGAUAAGCUCUUCGUGUUUGAUGCUGCAAUGGUCAGUUCUUCUUCCCCAAGCUACGUUCCUGUCGAGAUAGUAUGCAGCAUUAUAUUAAGAACAAAUAGGCACUCUAUUCGCCUUGUUGGCCAACUGAGCUAGGCUCAGUUCAUUGAAUUAAUUAUGAAACACAGUGCCCAUUUUACUUCAUACUCCUACUAACUAGACUUGACAUUUGAGCAAAUAUCCUUUUGGAUGGUAGCCAAAGGUAAGUAUGCCAAAGUAUAUGCUUGACCUUUUUUUUAGCCAACCUGACUUCAAAAAGCAUCUGACUUUGAGAUCAUUAUUUUUGUCGAUGAGUAUUUCUUAUGUACUCCUAGUAAUAGGCCAUUACACUGGUUGUGCUUAUUUCAGAGAUACAAAGCUGAUGGGCAUCAUACCAUAGUGUUGGCUGGAGAGGAAUAUGGCAGUGGAAGUUCUCGGGAUUGGGCUGCCAAGGGACCAAUGUUACUGGUAUAUGCAUAUCAUACAACUGCCAUUUCUUUGCUGGCUACCGGAAACUCGCACAUUUCUUUGACAAAACUAUGUCAUCAGGGGGUCAAAGCAGUGAUCGCCAAGAGUUUCGAGAGGAUCCACCGCAGCAACCUCGUGGGAAUGGGAGUGUUACCGCUGUGCUUCAAGCCUGGUGAGGAUGCUGAUUCUCUGGGGCUCACCGGUCAUGAGCGCUACACAAUAAGGCUCCCUACCAAUGUGAGUGAGAUACAACCGGGCCAAGAUGUCCAAGUGGUCACUGACACUGGGAAGUCAUUUACCUGCAAGCUCCGGAUUGAUACCCUGGUAAGUUCUCGAGUAAUAAAAGGAUGUGGAACUGGUAAUUGCAGAAAUGUUCACAGCACAGUGGUCAAUACAACUGAAUUACCGCGAUAAAGUUUCUGGGCAUUACAUUCCAUGAUUGCAAGCACGUACACCACUUAGAUUUUUGUUCAUACUGUGAGAUGAAACAGUGCAUUUUCAAAUACUAGCCUACAAGCUUAGCAGUUAGCGCUAAUCAAAUUGUAUUGAUUUUAAAAUAGUAUGAAUUGUGUGACGAAUAACAGAAAAAAAAACGUGUUUUCUAGGUGGAGCUGGCUUACUUUGAUCAUGGCGGGAUCCUUCACUACGUUCUGAGGAACCUGGUGAAGCAGCAACAGCAGCAGUAAAACUCUAAAAAUACAUGAAAAUCUGUGAAUAUUUGCCUAUCUUGUGUGUUUCGAAAAAGGCUAUUGUGAGGAAUAAAAUCACUCCUGCAGUUUGUAAAGUCAAGCCGAUGUAAAUGUUCAUGAGCUGAGGCUGAGCUGUGCUGUUUUGUAUUAAAAUUUCUGUGCUAAUAAAUAAAGAUGGUAUUGGUAUGUUGGCAUCUGUCACCUGAAGGCUGAAGUUUCUUUCUCCUAUGAAGAUUCAUAAAAUUUAGUCAAUCUUGCCUUUUUUCUGCGGCGGCGGAGCAUCCGGCGGUGGCCCUUCCGGGAGUUGUUCCGGUGCCCGCCCUGGCGCUGGCGGCGGCGGCGGCGGGAGAUGGGCGCUGCGCUGGGCGUGGGCGGGUAGUAGAAGGCGGAGGAGGCCGCUCUGCCGUGCCCGUGGACAGGCGAGAGGGCUGCCCGUGGACAGGCGAGAGGAGAACAAGCGAAAUUUACAAGACAAGCUGUUACACCGUUGGAUCGGGAUUGUGCGGCUUAUGGUAGAACUUGGUCUCGUUCAGAUCUCUCCUCUCGCGUAGUGGUGUUCAACGAUUCUGCGGUGGAGGAGCAGCCAGAAAGAAUGCUUCAUUUGCAAUAUGGCUGAAAAUGAUGCUCACCUGUGUUUUUCACUGUGAUUUUGCUAGGGCUAUCAACCAUCAUCACCAUGAAUACAGAAGAAGAAGAAGAGUUACAAAACAUAAUAACUACUCUUUGGUUUAUUUGGAAAGCGAAUGCUCGCUUCAACAACAAAAAAAUAGUCUGUUUUACAGGUACAUCAUUCAACAGCAGCGGAGAUAACUACAUCCAUAUCUGAACUUAAUGCAGAUAAACAAGGAAAUGAACUCCAAGAAAAGAGGAGAGAAAGGCGAACAUUAGAGGAACUAGGCCCUAAUCAUUAUAGAAUCUCACUACCUGCUGCUCUUUGAGGAACACGAUACUAUACAGAUGCUUCAAUCACUCCUGACAACGACGGAAAUCCUGCUAGACAUGCUGAACUGGAAAUUUUUAUUGUUCCCUCUACUAUCUACAUUAAAGCAAAGAUGAUGAACUGUAGCUCUAUCAUUAUGGCUGAAGCUGCGGCAUUGGAUCUGGCUGCACAAAUCCUCAAAAAACUUGGUAUACAACAUCCAAGUUUGCUAACAGAUAAUGAACAACUGGCUAUCUUCUUCAAUGGCCAAAACUACCAAAAUCCACCGAGAUGGGAGAUAAAACCUCACACUCAGUCCUUCAUCAACUCAUGUCUCUCAAGAGGAGAAAAAGUCUUCAAAAUCUGUAGAAGCAACAUUCUACAGCUCAUUGCAACAGAGUAUCUGGGGCUACCAAUGCCUAAUGGAAAAAUGAAAAGAGGAGUCUUCCAACCACUUGAGGAGAGGUUCCAGAAGAGAAUGUGUGCCUGGAAGGAAAAGGAGUUAUCUGUGGCUGGUAAGGAAAUCCUCAUUAAAUCAGUUGAACAAGCCCUGCCUAAUUACGUGAUGAGUGUUUUCAAGCUCCCACUAACAUUGUGUGAUGAGUUGAUGCGACAUAUACGGGCUUACUGGUGGGGUUCUGACAAUGGCCACAGGAAGGUUCAAUGGGUUCCAUGGGAGAAGAUGAUUAUGCCAAAAGGGUUUGGGGGUAUGGGCUUCAGAGACCUCAGAUUGGUUAACCAAGCCUUACUAGCAAGACAAGCAUGGAGAUUGGUGUUCUUUCCUGAGAGCCUGUGUGCUAGAGUUCUGAAAGCCAAAUAUUUUCCCAAUGGCAAUUUGCUGGACACAGUUGCUGCUGGAGAUGCCUCCCCAUCAUGGCGCGGAGUUGAGUUUGGGUUGACACUACUAAAGCAAGGUGUGGUCUAUAGAGUGGGAGAUGGACAAAGUAUUCGCAUUUGGCGUGAUAACUGGUUGCCCAGAGCUCAUGGCAUGAAGCCAGUUGGCAGCGUUCGGCAUUGCCGACUACGCCGGGUCUCUCAUUUGAUUGAUGCUCAAACUAAGUCCUGGGAUGAGACACUUGUAAGAAGAUAUUUUUAUGCCUGUGAUGUCGAGGAGAUAUUCAAAAUAAAAAUACCCAGCAAUCCCUGUCCAGAUUAUGUAGCUUGGAACUUUGAGACAUCGGGUAUGUUUUCUGUCAAAAGUGCUUAUAGACUAGCCAUGAGGAUUGAACACGAUGAAGGGAACAUCGGCACCAGCUCUACUCCUCCUGAUGGUAGAACGGUAUGGAAAAACCUGUGGUCUACUAAUGUACCAGAGAAAGUCAAGGUGUUUGCAUGGAAGGUCGCCAAUAAUGGUAUCCCCACUCAAGCUAAUAAGUACUUCAGACAUCUGGCACAAUAUGAAACCUGCGAGUUGUGCGGACAUGCUCGUGAGGACUGUUUCCAUGCGUGUGUACGCUGCCCACAUGCUGUUGCUCUUCGUCAGGCCAUGAGAAUGCAUUGGGUACUUCCGGCUGAGGAGGAUCUACAAUAUACUGGGCCUCAGUGGCUGCUGGCCCUUGUGAGCCGGUUCCCAGUGGAGGUCAUUGGAAAUCUUUUGAUGCUUCUAUGGCGUGUUUGGAGUGUGCGCAACAGUGUUCUGCGGGCAGGCAAAAGACUCUCGAUUGACAGUUCUGUGUUGUUUCUUACUCGUUACAGGGAUUCUCUCAUGCAGUGUCAAUUAAACAGUUUCCAUGCUGAAGACAAGGGGAAGCGCUGUGCCUUGAUUGGGAGCUCUCAGCUGGAGAGGGUUGCCAGGCUAGAGAAGAAGUGGGUUCCGCCAGAACCAGGAUGGAUGAAGAUUAACGUGGAUGGGGCUUUCUUACCCGAUUCUGGUGUAGCUGCAAUAGGUGUGAUCAUCAGGGACCAUGGUGGUGGGAUUAAACUGUCAGCCUGGCGAUUGCUUCGCCAUUGCCGGGAUGCAGUGGAGGCUGAAGCUGUGGCGUGCCGUGAAGGGAUUAUCCUUGCAGCGCGCUGGCCGGAGGUCCCCAUGAUUCUGGAAACCGAUUGUUCUGUGGUGGCAGGGAAGCUGAGGAAUCUUGUACAGCAUCGUUCCGUGAUUUGGUCUACCAUUCAAGAAGCUACUGUAGGGAUAGAGGAUCUUUGCCGGGUGGAAGUUCUGAAGAUUAGUCGAGCUCAAAAUAACACCGCACAUCAACUUGCUCAUUAUGCUAUUAGGUCGAGUAGUAGUCAGGUCUUUUUUUCUUCUUUUCCAGAGUUUGUCGUGUCGCUUGCUUGUAAAAAUACUGUUUGAGUUUUAAUAAAGUUUAUGUUCACAAAAAAAAGAGAUAGUGCUGAAUUUACUUAUACCAAUUCUCAGCAUGUAAACAACUGUCCUUUUAGGACAGCCCUAGACUCUGUAUUGGGUGCUCAUUUCACCCUCCUAGCAGCCUCAUGCUGCUAAUUAAUAAAUUUUGACUUCAUUCAAAAAAAAUGAUUUUGCAGUAGUUUGAUCUCUCUUUUUAUUUUUUGAACUUCAGUAGUUUGAUCUCUUAUCUCUGUUUUAUUUUCAUGAUAUGAUUACAUUAAAAAUGUAUUUAGGGUACUGGUAAUAAUUCCGAUACAACCUAUAUUUUUCAUGUAUUACCAAGUGAUUUUACAUAAUGUUUUUGCUCCACUAGAGCAGUUGGCAUAAAAGCAGGAGCAGAAGCCGGCCCAAACAGGUCAGCUUCCCGGUUAACAAGAUUCAUAAAAUUUAGUCACUCUUGCUUUUUUCCUCUUCCCUUAUUUUCUACUCUAGAGCCAUUUUAUCGUCUUAUAAAAUAUGUGCACCAAGAGGAGAGCUUGUUUGCUUGUCUUAUAAGCUAUAUUUUUUCUGCCAGUCAAUAAUGUUUUUUGCUCGUAAUAAAUCAACGAACAGCCAUGACUUUUUAGGCAAGCGACGUUUAGUAUUGGCCGAUAAAUUCGUGAACCUAACACUGUACAACCAAACCAAACAACAGAUGGUGAAAAAAAUCAUGUAGUGACAAACAAACAAAGAAUGUCUUAAUUACAUCCAGAAAGCAACAGGCUUCCAAUGCGUUUCAGGAAACUGAUGAGCAUCGGUCAUCUCGUACGACUGCACCUUGCGGUGUGUAGUGACAAGGUGUCCUUGUCCAUCGUACUCGAGACCAAACGUGGUGACCGCGAGCACACGGCGAUGCGGGUAGUAGCCAUCGUCAUGGAGGCGCCGCAGGUCCUCCUCGUCGUCACGCGCCAGCGACUCAACCAGGCAGUACCUGCUGCCGCCCAUCCACACGAGCGUGGCCCCAAGGUGCCUCCUGGACUUCGCGUCGAACAGUUGGUCCUCGCCGAGCUUCCAGGCGGGCAGGCUCCUGAGGUCGGCCGGAGCCGGCGCGACGUCGCAGCAGGAGAGGUAGCCUAAGCCACCCUUAUGCCAGCAGAGGCCCACCCAGGCGUCGAGCUGGGCAUCGAAGUACGCCUCGCCUUUGAACGGCAGGAUCCAGUUGCCAUGCGACGCCCACUGCUUGCUCUCCGUGUCGAAGGAGAACGUGCUCUCUUUAUGGGAAACGAAGAGAGUGCGGCCAUCGGGGUGUAGCACGGAGGCCCAUAUGCGGUUGAAGUCCUCGAAGGGUGGGGGAGCGCCGGUUCGGCUCCACGACCACCCCGCGUCUUCUGGGUAGAUGCUGUCGGGCGGCGGCGGCGCGGCGCUGAGCAUGUCGAACUGGCCUGCUCUUAGAAGGUAGAGGCUGCCAGCGAUGGACAGGAACAGUGGUUUAACGGCGAGCUUGUUGCCGCCGCGGCGUGGCCAGGGGCAGACGGCCAGCGCCGUCGUCUGGACAUCGAACACUGGGAAGGCAGGGUAAGGACAUGGCUGCAUGGCAAGGAUCUUGGUGCCGUGGGAGGCGAAAUACCAGGAGCGCCCGUGGCGGGCCUCGAAGCGGACGACCGGGGGCUCGGGGAGGGGGAGGGGCUCCGGCCCGGCGUCGAGGGCGUCGAAGGACUCGACGUCGACCUUGUAGACGCUGUAUCCCCUCUCCCAGUCAUCAAGAAUGAGAUAGAGAUGCUUCUUGUGCUCCUGCUGCUUGAAUUGCUUGGCCGCGCGGUGGCAUUGGCAGCUGGGGCAGGGCUCAAGCUCGCACUGCUGCCGCUUGUUCGGCAUUAUAAUUACUCUCUUUCCUGCUAACAACAACGAGCAAACCAUCAACUCGUAUAUACGGCGUAUAUAUUGUCUCGUCCUGGGUCCGAGACCUCUUCGUCUUCCAAGUUCCGACUCGACUCCUCUUCGGAUCGGAUCCGCUUCUUUUCCGUCCGAUUCCGACCCCUGUUAAAGUUCUACCAUAAGCCGCACGAUCCCGAUCCAACGGUGUAACAGCUGUCCUGUAAAUUUCGCUUAUUCUCUUCUCGCCUGUCCACGGGCACGGCAGAGCGGCCGCCUCCGCCUUCUACUACCCGCCCACGCCCAGCGCAGCGCCCAUCUCCCGCCGCCGCCGCCGCCAGCGCCAGGGCGGGCACCGGAAGCACUCCCGGACGCGCCACCGCCGGAUGCUCCUCCGCCGCGCCGCCGCCGCCGCAGCAGCGAAGCUCUCCUCCUCUUUAACCUCCGAGCGAGCCCUCCGUCACGUGGGCGCCGCCGGCCGCGGCCGCGGCCACGCCACCACCUCGUCUUCGAACCCACGCCGCCGGGGCCACCGUCGUGCGCCGACGGCUGAGUCCGAGUCCCUCACUUCCACCGCCGCCCCCCGUCCAUUCCCUGACUACCGCCCUCCCCGGCCUGACUCGCCGGACGACGACGCCCUCGCGCGCCGCCUGGCCGCCGCGGUGCUCGCCUCGCCUCACCCCACCUCCCUUCCUCCGCUCCCCUUCCUGCCCGUCCUCCGCCCAAUCCACCUCCUUCUCGGGCUCCCGCUCCUCGCCUCCCACCCGCACCUCGCCGGCCUCCUCCUCCCUCUCCUCCUCCUCUUCCCCUCCCGCCCUCAGCAGCACCCGCACCCGCACCUGCUCCGCUGCUUCGCCGUAGCUGCUCACCUCGCCGUAGUACGCGGCGCCGGAGCUGGCGCCGGUGCCGCGCGCGCCAUCCUCGCGCGCGCAGUCCGCUUCCCCUCCCCUCAUAGACAUUUCGUCGAGCACUACAUCUCCACCUACAAGGCAUUCUCCUCGGACCCCGCCUCCUUCGACCUUCUCCUCUUGUGCCUCCCCUCCGCGCCCCUACUGCGCCGCGUCCGCCAGUACGGCAUCUCCCCGUCCCCGGAGGCCUGCAAUGCCGUGCUCUCCCGCCUCCCUCUUGAUGAAGCCAUCGAGUUGUUUCAAGGUCUCCCGGACAAGAACGUUUGCUCCUACAAUAUACUACUCAAGGUGCUCUGUGGUGCUGGCCGCGUGGAGGAUGCACGGCAGCUGUUCGAUGAAAUGGCUUCACCGCCUGAUGUUGUCACAUAUGGGAUUCUUAUCCAUGGAUACUGUGCUCUUGGUGAGCUGGAGAAUGCGGUGAAGCUGUUGGAUGACAUGGUGGCAAGAGGGGUGGAGCCAAAUGCAACUGUGUAUACUAGUGUUGUUGCAUUAUUGUGUGACAAAGGGCGGGUUUCAGAUGCUUUGACAGUUGUCGAGGAUAUGGUCCAUCAUAAGGUGAUAUUGGAUGAGGCUGUGUAUACGACUGUCUUGAGUGGUUUUUGUAAUAAAGGAGAUUUGGUAUCUGCAAGAAGGUGGUUUGAUGAAAUGCAGAGAAAAGGUUUGGCAACUGAUGGGGUGACAUACACAACGCUGAUCAAUGGGCUUUGCCGGGCUGGUGAGCUGAAAGAGGCAGAGAAAGUGCUUCAGGAAAUGUUGGCCAGGCGGUUGGAUGUUGAUGAAGUAACAUACACAGUGCUUGUUGAUGGGUACUGCAAGAGAGGGAAGAUGGCGGAGGCCUUUCAGGUGCAUAAUACAAUGGUUCAGAGAGGAGUGGCACCAAAUGUAGUGACAUAUACAGCUUUGUCAGAUGGACUAUGCAAGCAAGGGGAUGUUCAGGCCGCUAAUGAGCUAUUGCAUGAGAUGUCUAACAAGGGGCUUGAGCUGAAUGCUUGCACAUACAACUCCCUGAUAAAUGGCCUAUGCAAGGCAGGCUAUCUGGAUCAGGCCAUGAGGACUAUGGCAGACAUGGAUGCAGCGGGUCUUAAACCGGAUGUUUACACCUAUACAACUCUUAUUGAUGCACUCUGCAAGUCAGGGGAGCUUGACAGGGCCCAUGACCUCUUGCAAGAAAUGUUAGAUAAUGGAAUUAAGCCUACUAUAGUGACUUACAAUGUUUUGAUGAAUGGUUUUUGCAUGUCAGGUAGGGUAGAAGGAGGAAAGAAGCUGCUUGAGUGGAUGCUGGAGAAGAAUAUCCAUCCAAAUGCUACAACUUACAAUUCUCUUAUGAAGCAGUACUGCAUUGGCAAUAACAUGAAAUCUACCACUGAGAUCUAUAAGGGGAUGUGUUCUCGGAAUGUGGAGCCAAAUGAGAAUACAUACAAUAUAUUGAUCAAGGGGCACUGCAAGGCAAGAAGUAUGAAAGAGGCACAAUAUUUCCACAAUGAAAUGAUAGAGAAGGGUUUCAGACUUACUGCAUCCUCAUACAGUGCUCUUAUAAGAUUGCUGAAUAAAAAGAAGAAAUUUGUUGAGGCAAGAAAACUAUUUCAUGAUAUGAGGAAGGAGGGUUUUACAGCUGAACCAGAUGUAUACAAUUUUUAUAUUGAUUUCAACUUUAAUGAGGACAAUUUGGAGGCAACCCUUGCUCUUUGUGAUGAACUGGUGGAAGCUAGUAUUGUGAAAUCAAAAGCUGAAAUGGAUCAAGAUGUUGUAAAGGACCAUAUACAUUAGGGACAUAAUUUUGGCUGGUUAUGUCAUGCUAGCUUCUUCAGAUUGUGUUUGCAUGCAAUGUGAAUACAUGAUCCAGAGAUAGUACUGUCCCUUUUCACCGUGCGAAAACUGGCAGUUGAGGUAAAAACAGUUUAUUCUAAGUAUUUAAAUUGGUUACAGAUACUAGUUGUGUGUUCCCUGGCAUUUUCUGAUGGUUGAUGAUACUAUCCUUUAAUUGCAGCCUUCAUCAGGUUCAUCCGGAAGAUGUUGAGAUGUGUAGAUAGAAUGCACAUUGUGGAGUUGGUGUGGUUUGCAAGGUAGAAGACAAAAUGCAUUGUGAACUCCGCUUUUCUUUUCAAGUAUUACGUCUGGUCCUUGUUCCUGUGUUUUUCUACAUCAAGUUUAAUGGUUUAUCCAUUUGUUAGUUUGAUACUUGCAGAAUAAAUAUGAAUCAUCUAGAGCAUUGCUAGAUGUGCUUAUUUAUUAUCUCACUCAUAUCCUGCAUCUGACUUCCACUCAUGCCUUGUGUUGCAACUGACACCAUGUUAAGUUAGAGGGGUUUUUGGAUCCAGUGCUUCUUCAGAGCAACUCUUCCAGUGAUACUUCCUGUAAAGAAAUAUAAACUAGAUCUACUUUGCUUGGGUUUAGUCCUUCCCCAGAUUAAGGGUUACUCUACUAAGAUUCACUUUUAGCUAUAUUUUUUUUGGAGUUGCAAUGAACUCACGCUGACCUUUAAUCUGCUGACGUGCAGGACAAGAGGUUUUUUGGUUAAUAAAUUGUCAGGCUGCGAACUAUUGAAUUAGUUGUCUUUACGAGGAGUGAUAAGGGCCUGCGCGUGAUGCCAAUGAGUACAUAACUACGUAUAGGAGGAACAUGGCGAAACCACUGGUGAAACAGAGAGAACUAAAGAAACAAUGAGGCUUAUGCCUGCGAAUGGAAGGAUGAACUAGAAAGAUUUAGUGAACAAGAGUGGAAGGGCAUUGGUUAAGAAGUGAUGUUUGGUCUUCAUUCAGAAUUUUGAGAAAAAUAAAUGCUAUGCUCUGUUUUCAGACAUCAUUCCUUCCUCAAUGUUACAGCACCCAGAUCAGCUUCAUGGUUCACUGACUUGGACCUUCGGUUAUACAUAGGGGAAAUAGAUCAACUGUGGUGUAUCAGAGAACUCAGCUUCUUGGAGAUUCAUAAAGUGGAGCACCGGAUACGGUUAGCUGUUAGAAUUACACAUCACAAUACAGCCAUAUAUGGGAAACAUACAGCUUCAAACGAACAUAUUGAUUUGGACAGAAGAUACAACUGUACUGUAGUCUGUAGGAAUGAAGAUGAAUUCGAAGCUCACUUUUUUUCCAGUGGAUGCAACAUGCAUUCAUUGUUUCUUGCAAUUAAAUUAAAUUUAUUUCAUGGGGAUUCAAGAACUUGGAUUACGACGUUGUGGAAUAUCUCCGUGCGAUGAGUGCAAUGAGUGCUCGAUACUUGUUUAGCUAAAACAUGUGCUAUUUUAUUACAAGAUCUACUAAUAUAAGAAAAAGAGAAAGGCCUGUUUGGUACUACUCGCUUCAUGAGCUGUUGUGAGCUGUUUUUUUUGUCAAACACUUAUUUUCAAAACAGCUUCAUGGGUGAAGUUGUUUUUCCCCCUCCUCUCACAAAGACAUAAGUUAGGAUGAAGCUGAAAAAAAAGUAGCUUAUUGCAGCUCUCUCUUAUUUCUCUCUCAACUAUGCAUGAAGUAGUUUGUGAAGCUAUUUUGCUAAAUAUUUUUUCCAAACACAGCUCAGCUUCAUCUAGAAAGUCACUCAUGAAGCUAUUUUCUAAAAAAACAGCUUUACUAGUGAAGUUGAGCUGUGCCAAACAAGCCCGAAAUCUUAAAAGGCAAGCCUGACAUCAUCAAUCUCCUUAACCCGGAUUAACGGGCGCUAGUUGUCCUAGCUUCUUCCACAGUUUUUUUCUCCAAACUUCUUCCACAGGUUGACAAGCUCGAAACAAUCUUUCCAGCCAUACCUAUUGUAUACCCUAUCGCUUCGCCAACACUAACCCGUCUCAGCACGUUAACACUUUCAUCUGACAAGCAUCGAAACCACGAUCAUCGCCUGUGCAACAGAUCCCGAAUUAUGCUGGCCGUCGCCCCCACUGUGCUUGUUCUCACAUAAGGCGGCAUCAGAAUUGAUUUUAAACCAGCCUCGGGGGGGGGGACCUCAUUAGUCGUUCGCUGCUGAACCGAGUGACAACCUUGUUUAGUUCGCAAAAAUUUUACUUUUUGGCUACUGUAGCACUUUCGCUUUUAUUGUCAUAUUGUCCAAUCAUAGAGUAGCUAUGAUAAUAAGAUUCAUCUCACAAAUUACAGGUAAACUGUACAAUUAGUUUAUAUUUUCGUCUAUAUUUAAUGCUCCAUGCAUGAGACUAAAGAUUUGAUUUGACAUGGAAUCUUGAAAUUUUUUGCAAACUAAAUAAGGCCAAAGCUGCCAAAGAUCAUAAGCUGUAUCCUGUGCCCAAAUAACAGCUUGUUGAAUGGUUAUCGACAGUUCCCCAUGUCUUCUCUUGUUUCACAUCAUCCACAAAGCCCACGACCCGCAAAAUAUCUAUGUCCCAGCGAGAGUAAAUAACCGUUUAUUUUGCUGAUAAGCCAUGAUAGAAAGUACAGCUGAAUGUGUCUAUUCGAGAGGAUAUGUCUUGCCGGCAACAAUUCAUGGAACACUCGCCACCAAAAUACUCAUGUUCUAGAUAAUCUUCCAAAGGCCAUCAGAUGAGGCGCCAAGUUCUUGGUUCUAGUUCUCUUCUUCCUUCUUCUUAAGCAGCAAUUUAUAUGCCGAAAAGAUUUGCCCGGUUUUAGAGUUGAGGGAGAAAAGGCGGAUUUUCGUCAAAAUUGUAAGAGUAAAAGUAGAUUUUUUUCAUUCUCUUAUGACGUGUUUAUUGAAAUAAAUCAGCCCAUGUGAACUUCGGCCGGCCUAGACGCUUCGGCAGGGUAGAAAUGGGCUCAUAGAAAGGCCCAAUCUCCAAGGCUCUCCGCUGCACGCCUGCACUGCACCUAAACCUCGCAAAAGCCCAACCCAAACCCUAGCACCCCGCGAAAGGCAGCCUCCCGCCGGUCACAUGGAUUUCGGUCGCCGGAAGGCGGCGGCGCUGGCUGCGCUCUCCUCGCCGACGCCGGACAAGUCCCCGAAGGGCGGCGUCGACGCCCCUAUCGCCCCGCUCCUCGACGUCCUCAACUCCCACCCGGACCUCUUCACCACCUCCUCCUGCUCCGGCCGCGUCUCCGUCCUCGCGCAGCCUCCGCCGCAGCAUGAGGGCCAGGGCGAUGGCGCCACCAAGCCGAAGAAGAAGGCGCGGGGCGGCGGGUGGGUAUACGUAUCGCACGACCCCGCCGACCCGGACGCCGUGGUGGAGCAGCUGUUCGGCGGGAGCGGGUCGGGAGUGGCGGGGGACGAGCUCGUGUUCAGGUUCGAGCCGAUGAUCGUGGCGGUGGAGUGCAGGGACGCCGCCGCAGCUGCGGCGCUCGUCGCGGCCGCGAUCGGUGCAGGUUUCCGUGAAUCAGGUGAGCUGUGUGAUCUGUGAUUGUAGCGUGCCUCCUUCAAGCCUGUGUUUAGAGUUAUGUUGAGAUGUUGGAUAAGGCUUCGAUUUCCAUGAACAACUCAGCACUGUAUCCUUACCAUCAGUGUUAUUGUACAGUAUUUCAAUACAUGGAGUUGUGGAACGAUUUGUGAAUACUAAUAUCAUUGAUGGCAGGCGCAGGGUUCAUUAUAGUUAGUUUUGCAUAUAUAGUUUUAGAAAAGUAUGUUUUUUGGUUCGUGCUUUUAGUUGAAAUGAUAAAUUGACUCACAAGUGAAGGUUUGUAUGAUGAGAGAUGGAUUCCUUGGAUUGUGUAACGUGUAGUGCUGAGUUCGAUAUGAUGUUUCUUGUCCUUAUUUAUAGGAAUAUCAGAUUAAGUUUGUUUAAAACCGAUUAAUCUGGUUUUCAGGUAUCACAAGCUUGCAGAAACGUGCAAUGGUAGCAAUAAGAUGCUCAAUUCGCAUGGAAGUGCCACUGGGGCAGAUUGACGAACUUGUUGUUUCUCCGGAGUAUGUUCGAUACCUUGUUAGAAUUGCCAACAGUAAAAUGGAGGCAAAUAAAAGGCGAAUGGAUGGAUUUCUGGAUCUCUUCCAGACUAAGGUAUUGAGCUAUGCUUGUCUUACUGUAUUCCAACUUUUUUGUUGGUGUGCAUGACAUACAUGUUCGGAAACUUUGGAUAUUGUGUAAGUCCAAAAAUGUUUCUGCUGAAUGUUCAUUAAGCUGGAGUGGAGAGUAAACUAAGUAUUUCUUUUAUAAGAGAGAAUAAUCUAGGACGUUUCUGUUUAUAAAACUACUUAAUGAGCUGAGUAAGAUUUUUCAACCAGAUGACGAUAGUUACUUCUUGAUUUACGACCACUUGUCAGAUACUACCUCCUAUCUUUUUCAAAUGACACUGGUAUUUCAAAACUGAACUAGCCAGCGUCAUUUUAAAAAGAUCAGAAGGUGUAAGUCUAUCUUCAUUUAUCCAUAGUAUAUGUCCUAAACAUUUGUGUAUUCCCAAAAUUUUUUUACUUUGACCACCAAUUCAUUUACAAAUAUCUUUGUACAUACCACAAUAAUCUAGUUGUUUUCUCAUUCAUGUUGGUUCCAAUCAAAUUGCCAGGGUUUGUCAUACUCAUCAGAGUUGUCAAACAACUGUAAUGGAAGUGGUGGUCAGUCUGUUGAUUAUGAGGCUUCCAUGGGUCCUGAAGUUAAGAUACCAUUAGAUAAAUGUGCCAAAACAAAUGAUGAGUACUUAGUUACAAAAAGGAGAAACGGUGGGCAUAGCUGUGAUGAUGAUGAUACAGGUUCAAUAGAAGCAAGGUAUUUUGGAAAUCAAGACUCUGCAUGGAGCAAGGGUGCCAAGCAUGGUUUUGGUAAUGCUAAACGGCAUGUUCUCUUAUCUCUUUGUCUCAUCUUGUUCCUACUUUUCAUUUUUCUUAGAUUAGCACGUAAAUUUAUUGGUUUGAUGGGCUCUGAAGUGGAUAUUUGAUAUCAUUUGGUUGCUUCAAAGAGGUGCAUCACAGUACAUGGUAGUUUGGCACGUUAGACCCACUAACUUGGUUGUUAAUUGUCUAUGUUGUUUACAUAUGGUGAAUUUUAUAAGCAGUGUUUCCGUAAAUGCUUAAAAGGUGGUCAACUUUGUUUAGCCUUGUUGGACUACACAGCCUAUUAGUCAGAUUACAUGUCCAUUUAAGCGAACACUGGUUUUAGGAAACUUUUUUGUUGAACAUUAGCUGAACUAAGUGAGAAAUUAAAUUCCAUCUGGUUUUGAUUUUUUUUUGUUUUCUUGUAGCAGAUAGGUGAUUGUUUUGAAUUACUAAACCAUGAUUUUCCCUUCACUAUUUAAUGAAUUGAUGGUCCUGCACCUAUUUAGUUGUCGACUCUGUUAUUCCAUAAUUCUGAUAAUGUACUUUUAGUCUUCUUACAAAGUGACUAUCCAGUAGCUCGGAGCCUUCUAUUGAACCCUUUUCAUCUGUUCUGUUGUAUUGUCUGUAGAUUAUUAACGCAGGAGAAGUUGUCAGAAAAGAAAAAUCAUCUCUCUACCACAACAUUGAAGAUUAGUGGUGAACCAAUUGAGAAGCUCUUCCUAUGGGGCCAGUCCUCUUGUGUGUUUACUGUUGGAGAAGAGCAGCAGGUCCUAACUUUUGGUGGUUUUGGAGGACCAGGAAGACAUGCUAGGAGAAACUAUUCCCUUCUGCUCGAUCAUAAAUCUGGUUUUUUGAUAGAAAUGAUCUUCAAAGCAUCUCCUUCACCAAGGAUGGGGCAUACAGUUACUGCAGUUGGUAAUAGCACUUAUCUAAUUGGAGGUAGAGGUGGCCCUUCAGAAAUUCUUGAUGAUGUCUGGGUUUUGCUGAGCACUGGGAAUACAUGGUCAAAAGUGGAGUGCUGUGGAGAUCUGUUCCAACCAAGGUACUGUUUAGAUGAAAUUGUUAUCCCCCUUUGCCCGUGAUCGAUAUUUUAUGGACGUUCUGUCUCUUUAUGCAGGCACCGACAUGCAGCUGCUGCAGUAGCUUCAAAAAUUUAUGUAUUUGGAGGACUCAGUAAUGAAGGCAUAUAUUCUUGUAUGAAUGUAUUGGACACAAAAAAUAUGCAAUGGAGUGUACUUGCUGCUUCAGGCGAAUGGCCAUGUGCUCGACAUUCGCAUUCUAUGGUGUCAUAUGGUACAAAUCUAUUCAUGUUCGGAGGUCAUGAUGGCCAACGGGCGCUGAAGGACUUUUACAGUUUUGAUACAACAACACUUAGGUGGAACAAGGAAAACACAAAUGGGGGAUUUCCGUCACCUAGGUUUUCACACUGCAUGUUCAUCUACAAAAAUUAUCUUGGGAUACUUGGUGGCUGUCCUAUUACAGAAAACAACCAAGAAAUUUCAUUGCUGAACUUAAAGCAUCGAGUCUGGUUUCGUGUUUCCGUUCCAUUACUGAGCCAGUCCCUCUGUGUCCGUAGUUCAUCGGUUGUAAUUAAAGAUGAUCUUGUUAUUUUAGGUGGUGGUGCAUCUUGUUAUGCAUUUGGAACCAAAUUCAGUCAACCAAUAAUUCUUGAUCUGCAUUCAGUGGAGUCUAUGUUUCAAUAUGAUAGGAACAAAGAUGACACAGUUCAAAGUCGUGAUGCAAUAUCUGCUGCUGACUUGCCAAGAGAUGGGCAAAAUGGCAUCUUUGAUCAUGAUACAAAAUCACAAGAUGCUUGUUCUGGUGGUUUGAUGGAUUCAGGCCCUCUGGUUCUUCAACUGGAGAAGACGUAUGCCAAAUUAGCAAAAGACAUUCUGAAAAAGUUUGGAUGGUUGGAUCUUUCUAGAAAAGUUCGAGUGAGCCAUGAUAAUGGCCAUGUUCUUUUUCCUAUUAAAGAAGCUUUCCGAGUCCUAAAUGCUGAAGAGCAUAUCAAGAUGACACAUGAUGUUUCAUCUACCUUUGGGGAAUCAUUAUUGUUUACUGAAAAGAAACUUGUCGUAGACAACCUAUCUCUUAAGGAUGCAUUAAAUAUUUUGUCAUCUUGCAGUGGUUCCUUUAUGAAAGAUGAACUAGCCAUCAGCCGAAAGCCUUCCAAGUCUCCUCAAACCAUCAUGAAAGAACUUGUAUCUUCUCUACUGGAAAGUAAAGGGAUGCCCCCUCAGUUGUUGGAGCAGCUUCCAGCUAGGUUUGUUUCUCUGAUAAAAAUAUCUAUUGUCAUUACAACUAUGGUUGCUCUUGCUUGCUUAAUGUCAUUCUGAUGUAGGUGGGAGACACUUGGUGAUGUCGUCAUACUUCCGAAGACAUGUUUUAAGAAUCCAUUGUGGGAAUCAGUUAGCGAGGAACUUUGGCCACUAGUUGCCAAGUCACUUGGUGCACAACGUCUUGCACGCCAAGUUAGUACUGGAUGAACUCUUUAUUAGUGAACCUAUAACAUCUAUUUGGGCUGCUAUUUCUCUUGAAGUCAAUACCUUGUAUGUUCAUGUGGUCUCCCGUCCUCAAUUGAAUUUCCAUGUUAAGUAUUUUUAUUCUUACAAUUUGUGACUUGGCUUGUGGCAAGCAUUUGGUUACCCUACCAAGCAUUUGUUUCUGUUGGGGAGGCCCUUUUCAAUAUGAUUCAUUCAAUCUGUCCUUUUUUGGCAGGGUAAAAUCAUGCCAAAUGGUACAAGAGAUAGUACACUGGAACUUCUUCUGGGUGAUAAUGGAUGGGUUACCCAUUAUGAAAAUGGCAUCUGCUAUUCACUUGAUGCAACAAAAUGCAUGUUUUCUUCUGGUAAUCGUUCAGAGAAACUUCGCAUGGGACAGCUAAACUGCAGAGAUGAGGUGGUCGUGGAUUUGUUUGCUGGAAUUGGAUACUUUGUUCUUCCGUUUCUUGUGAAGUACAUUCUCUGAUAGCCCUUGGUCAAACACAGAGAUUCUGAUUUUAUUCGCCCCCCCAAAAAAUAUUGUUCUUAAUCUCGUACUCUUGCAGGGCUAAUGCCAAGCUAGUUUAUGCAUGUGAAUGGAAUCCACAUGCUCUGGAGGCUCUUCGGCGCAAUGUUAGUGACAACAGUGUGGAGGAUCGAUGCAUUAUACUUGAAGGAGAUAACCGGGUGACUGCACCCAAAGUGUGUACUGGCAAAUAUCAUCUUUUGGUCUAACACAUGAAUUACGAUGGCUGCUGAUCGUUAUUUCUUACUGGACUUGAAUCAGGGUGUUGCUGAUCGAGUCUGUCUUGGAUUGUUACCCUCAAGUGAAUGUAGCUGGGCCACUGCUGUUGAAGCUUUAAGGUGAUCUGUCUGCAUCACCACCUGAGUUGUUUCGGUUAUGAUAUUUCAUUCUAGGUUUCUUGUAGUGUUCAAAGAAGAUUUUAUAUAGAGAGGUCAACUGCUUAGGUAAGCUUUUGUCUUGGCCUCCUCUAGUUGGACACUCUGAGGUUCUUGUUUCUGUUGUACAAGUAGCUGCAUCCUUCAGUAAUUAUUAAUUAAGAUGAUUUCUUAGUAUUGUUUGAGUUGGUUUUACUAAGGAGUUUGGUUGUAUUAGGGAGUCAGUUUGGAAUGUGCCCAUCUUUUGAAAGUCGUGUGCAAAUCUUUUAGGGUUGAUUAGUUCAUAAUAAUAGGCUAGGUCAGAUUCCACAGGCAUGCACACACAUGCAUUAUACCCUGUUACGGUUAACCAUUACAAUUGUUAUUCUCAACCCUUCUAAUUUCUCUCUUCUACCCCUGUUCUCUUCUCUAAUCACCAACGACAUCCAGGGUUUCAUAUCCCUAUAACAUUAAUUGCAGAGGUGUACACGACAGCAGCAAAAUGUUGUUUCAGAAUAUUCUGAAUGUUCUUUUAAAACUGCUUAUCAACAUAUUGAUCUUAGUAGUGCUAGUCUGACAUCCCAAAGGAAAUCCUGCAAAGUCUUUUUUAGAGAAAAGGUUUCCCCCGCUUUAUUGAACCAACAAAGUGCAAUUGAGUUUACAUUUAGCAGAAUGUAUUGGAGGUGCACCUGCCAAAAUCUGGGAUGCUAAAGAUUCCCUGACUGAAGUUCAUUUCAUGCACAAAGAUCAUUGUAUUGCUAUCAUCCUCCCACUCAUGCUGAGGUAUCAUCUCUCUUGAUAUGGUCAAACUGGAGUUGCUGGAGACCGCCGUCCCAAUCCAUCCAUUUACAUGCUGCCAAAUUUGGUUUGUCUGACACACUGAAAAUGCCUGCACCAUGGUGGAGCACGUUGGGCUGCUUGGUGGAAUUUGUGGUCUCACUUGGAAACAAGUUCUCUAUAAUUUUUGAAUGUGAUGUUGGAAUUUUGUCAAUUUGCUGGAUCCACAACAAACCUCUGAUGUUAACAUUUUACUCUAUUACUAUGUGUAGGAUUGGCGGCGGCAUAUUGCAUAUACAUGGGAAUGUCAAUGACUCUGAUGAGACACGCUGGUUGGACAAUGUUGUUGAAUCCAUCAGUAAUAUCGCCAAAAACCAUGGUAAAAAAUGGUGUGCUUUUAUCUGUUGCGAUGCAUUUUUGCUCUCCAAGAGUUAAAAUUCCAUUUUUAUGCCAUUUGUGUCGCAGGACUAUCUUGGAACGUGUUAGUGGAGCACGUUGAACGUGUCAAAUGGUACGGGCCACAUAUUCGCCACCUUGUAGUUGAUGUUAGAUGCCGGCAAAUCUAACAAAGCAGACGCCACCUUGUAGUUGAUGUUAGAUGCCGGCAAAUCUAACAAAGCAGACGCCUUCAGAGAAUACUUGUGCAGUGCCAGGCCUGGGAUUCUUGGAUAGUUGGAUGCAUAUACAUUAUAGAAUGUAAUGUUCAACAGUUUGCUUCGGUUGUGUUUUGGUCCCAAGUGUAUUCCAUUGCUCCUAGUCAUCAUGGAGCCUCUGUUGUGACCUUGAAAGCAUGUUCAGGUUCUUGAUAACAAUUCGCUACUGCAUAGCUACAGUAAAGUUGUGUUCUUGUACCGAGUACUUUAUGUAUCUUUUUUCUUAUAUAAGAUAAUUUAUUGCGUUGUUUGAACAUUUUAUUACCAGCUUUUGCAUUGGCUGAUGGCACAGCACCCUAGGUAUUGGAUUGAUUCAGUGAUUAUGGACUUAUGGUGAAGCAGGAAAGUCAUCGGGAAGUAAAAAAAAAGUAAAACAAGGCCCAUUAUUUUUUUUGUGAAGGAAAACACGUUUGGGCCUUGUUUAGAUGUGAAAAUUUUUUGGAUUUCGUUACUGUAGCACUUUCGUUUGUUUGUGGUAAAUAUUGUCCAAUCAUAGACUAACUAGUGUCAAAAGAUUCGUCUCGCGAUUUACGGUCAAACUCUGUGAUUAGUUUUUGUUUUCGUCUAUAUUUAAUGAUUUAUGCAUGUGCUGUAAGAUUCGAUGUGACAGUGAAUAUUGAAAACUUUUUGGUUUUCAGGGUUAACUAAAUAAGGCCUGGUAUGUAUUGGCCGAAUAUCUGGGCACAUUAUAAGCAUUAACCGGACGUAUUUGCUGACCACAUUCCACGGUAAUAAAGUCAUCAAUUUUAAAACAAUGCAGAGGCUGCACAGAGUUUACUUGCACGGUGAAGUGGUGAACUGCUAAUGACCAUGGGAAGGGAAGGGGAGGGGGAGGUGAGAUAACGAUGUCAUAGUUUGACCGACAAGCGAGGUGCACCCGUUCUAUAUCCAAAAAACAGAUGGAUUUAUCACAUUUUACCUCGCUUUUUAACCAAAAUGGCCACAAGAGUCACGCACAAGAAAUACCAUGGAUUUAAUGUACCUGGAUUUCUCCUUUGAAGAAGUUCUUGUUGCAUACCAAACACCUCGGAACUCAAUGUUCUUAUUUCCCAAUACUAUGGUAGAAACUACAAUUCCCUUAAAACUAAAAAAACAUUCAAAUAGGCUCCUAGCGCACAAAAAUUAUAUAUAUUUGUAUCUUAUUUCAUGCUAUAUUGCCUUAUUAUACCUAGAAAUAAUAUAUUUUGCAGUAAUAUAGUCCAAUUUCUUUUUUGAAUAUAUAAUCAAAUGAGGUGAGAAAUUAGACCACUAAAGAAAUUUUAGUAGCAGAACUAGUAAGCAAUCUUGGUUACGUAAUUGAAAAUAGACCUUUUUCCUAUUACUAAUUACCCAACUGAAAACUAGAUUUUAACCGUACAAAGUGAGAGGCAAAAAUGCAGUUUUUAUUAGAUGUACUUACAUAAACAAACUUACAAAAGGAAGGGACGUUCAAGA
Molecule: long non-coding RNA, 37487 nt
Filed under: Sorghum bicolor (sorghum)
Lineage: Eukaryota; Viridiplantae; Streptophyta; Magnoliopsida; Poales; Poaceae
Description: long non-coding RNA (SBIC_LNC003778)
Source: RNAcentral